CGUAUCACCCAAGACAACUUUACGGAGUUGACGAUUGACGGAGCGAAGCGACGUCAAAGCGUUCAUUAAAGUCGAGUUGGCUUAGGGAUACGUUCGUUGGGUAGGGGAGCGUUCUGUAAGCCUGUGAAGGUGUGUCGUGAGGCAUGCUGGAGGUAUCAGAAGUGCGAAUGCUGACAUAAGUAACGAUAAAGCGGGUGAAAAGCCCGCUCGCCGGAAGACCAAGGGUUCCUGUCCAACGUUAAUCGGGGCAGGGUGAGUCGACCCCUAAGGCGAGGCCGAAAGGCGUAGUCGAUGGGAAACGGGUUAAUAUUCCCGUACUUGGUGUUACUGCGAAGGGGGGACGGAGAAGGCUAUGUUGGCCGGGCGACGGUUGUCCCGGUUUAAGCGUGUAGGUGUGUGUUCCAGGUAAAUCCGGUUCACUUUAACACUGAGGCGUGACGACGAGGCACUACGGUGCUGAAGCAACAAAUGCCCUGCUUCCAGGAAAAGCCUCUAAGCAUCAGGUAACACGAAAUCGUACCCCAAACCGACACAGGUG
This 538-nucleotide ribosomal RNA is filed under the name Salmonella enterica. RNAcentral describes it as "partial 23S ribosomal RNA". It matches the Rfam family "Bacterial large subunit ribosomal RNA", at positions 1154 to 1665 of the family's 2925-position model. Lineage: Bacteria; Pseudomonadati; Pseudomonadota; Gammaproteobacteria; Enterobacterales; Enterobacteriaceae. The record is from RNAcentral. RNAcentral also lists the same sequence under 1 other name.